GGUAAAGAAUCAUGAGAAAAUAGUCCCUUAGACAGAAUGUGUCCUUCCUCCUCUUCUAGUUACUGCAUUCCAUUUACUUGGAGCACUGAAUUAAUUGCAAAGCAUUCAGAAGCACUGCAUCAGACCGAAAAAACUAACCAGAAGUUCUAUCCUCACCAAAACCAGAUGCCAGAUAUUCUGUUUGGUCAAGAUGGCUAACAUCACCUCCCUUAGACAGAAUGUG
Molecule: unclassified non-coding RNA, 223 nt
Filed under: Hevea brasiliensis (rubber tree)
Lineage: Eukaryota; Viridiplantae; Streptophyta; Magnoliopsida; Malpighiales; Euphorbiaceae
Source: RNAcentral